UGGGGAAUAUUGCACAAUGGGCGCAAGCCUGAUGCAGCCAUGCCGCGUGUAUGAAGAAGGCCUUCGGGUUGUAAAGUACUUUCAGCGGGGAGGAAGGGAGUAAAGUUAAUACCUUUGCUCAUUGACGUUACCCGCAGAAGAAGCACCGGCUAACUCCGUGCCAGCAGCCGCGGUAAUACGGAGGGUGCAAGCGUUAAUCGGAAUUACUGGGCGUAAAGCGCACGCAGGCGGUUUGUUAAGUCAGAUGUGAAAUCCCCGGGCUCAACCUGGGAACUGCAUCUGAGACUGGCAAGCUUGAGUCUCGUAGAGGGGGGUAGAAUUCCAGGUGUGGCGGUGAAAUGCGUAGAGAUAUGGAGGAAUACCGGUGGCGAAGGCGGCCCCCUGGACGAAGACUGACGCUCAGGUGCGAAAGCGUGGGGAGCAAACAGG
RNAcentral lists this ribosomal RNA (429 nucleotides) under Chloroflexota bacterium. Its description in RNAcentral is "Chloroflexi bacterium partial 16S ribosomal RNA". It matches the Rfam family "Bacterial small subunit ribosomal RNA", at positions 355 to 776 of the family's 1533-position model. The record is from RNAcentral. Lineage: Bacteria; Bacillati; Chloroflexota.